UAUGGUCAUAUCACAUUGAGACACCAGUUCCCAUACAAUCACUGAAGUUAAGCAACAUUGAUCAUGGUCAGUACCUAGAUGGGUGACCACUUUUGAAUACCAGAUGCUGUAA
Molecule: non-coding RNA, 112 nt
Organism: Acanthosepion pharaonis
Lineage: Eukaryota; Metazoa; Mollusca; Cephalopoda; Sepiida; Sepiidae
Source: the annotation of a GenBank genome assembly